Molecule: ribosomal RNA, 541 nt
Filed under: uncultured bacterium
Lineage: Bacteria
Description: partial 16S ribosomal RNA
Rfam family: Bacterial small subunit ribosomal RNA
Source: RNAcentral
UGGGGAAUCUUGCACAAUGGGGGAAACCCUGAUGCAGCGACGCCGCGUGAGUGAUGAAGCCCUUCGGGGUGUAAAGCUCUUUCGGCAGGGACGAUAAUGACGGUACCUGCAGAAGAAGCUGCGGCUAACUACGUGCCAGCAGCCGCGGUAAUACGUAGGCAGCAAGCGUUGUUCGGAAUUACUGGGCGUAAAGAGUGCGUAGGCGGUUUGGCAAGUUUGGUGUGAAAUCUCCUGGCUUAACUGGGAGGGUGCGCCGAAAACUGUCAGGCUAGAGUGCGGGAGAGGAAAGCGGAAUUCCUGGUGUAGCGGUGAAAUGCGUAGAUAUCAGGAGGAACACCUGCGGUGUAGACGGCUUUCUGGACCACUACUGACGCUGAGGCACGAAAGCGUGGGGAGCAAACAGGAUUAGAUACCCUGGUAGUCCACGCCCUAAACGAUGCGGACUUGGUGUUGGCCCUUCAUUGGGUCAGUGCCGCAGUUAACGCGGUAAGUCCGCCGCCUGGGGAGUACGGUCGCAAGGCUGAAACUCAAAUGAAUUGAC